Molecule: small RNA, 164 nt
Filed under: Chrysemys picta bellii (western painted turtle)
Lineage: Eukaryota; Metazoa; Chordata; Testudines; Emydidae
Description: TUC338 (ENSCPBG00000027592.1)
Source: RNAcentral
CUGACGACAGUGAAGACUUAAUGUCCUUUAUCCACAGAACUGGUACAAUAGAGGCAGCAGCAGUGCACGUUUCCCUACAGUGUGUCUCCAAUAUUUUCCAACCUUGACCUGAAAGUGACAGAUACAGCAGCGCUCCUCCUGGACCCAUUCAGUCCUUUGCCUCU